GAAUUGACGGGGACCCGCACAAGCGGUGGAGCAUGUGGUUUAAUUCGAAGCAACGCGAAGAACCUUACCAAGGCUUGACAUCCUCCUGCCGGGCUCGUAAUGGAGUCUUUCCCUUCGGGGACGGGAGAGACAGGUGGUGCAUGGUUGUCGUCAGCUCGUGUCGUGAGAUGUUGGGUUAAGUCCCGCAACGAGCGCAACCCUUAUCUUUAGUAGCCAGCGAGUAAAGUCGGGCACUCUAGAGAGACUGCCGGGGUUAACCCGGAGGAAGGUGGGGAUGACGUCAAAUCAUCAUGCCCCUUAUGUCUUGGGCUACACACGUGCUACAAUGGCUGCGACAAAGGGAAGCGAAGGGGUGACCUGGAGCGAAACCCAAAAAAGCAGUCCCAGUUCGGAUUGGAGUCUGCAACUCGACUCCAUGAAGGUGGAUUCGCUAGUAAUCGCGCAUCAGCAUGUCGCGGUGAAUACGUUCCCGGGUCUUGUACACACCG
This 488-nucleotide ribosomal RNA is filed under the name uncultured Bacilli bacterium. Its description in RNAcentral is "bacterial SSU rRNA". It matches the Rfam family "Bacterial small subunit ribosomal RNA", at positions 907 to 1392 of the family's 1533-position model. Lineage: Bacteria; Bacillati; Bacillota; Bacilli. The record is from RNAcentral.